GAACGCUGGCGGCGUGCUUAACACAUGCAAGUCGAACGAUGAAGCCCUUCGGGGUGGAUUAGUGGCGAACGGGUGAGUAACACGUGGGCAAUCUGCCCUUCACUCUGGGACAAGCCCUGGAAACGGGGUCUAAUACCGGAUAUCACUCUCGCAGGCAUCUGUGAGGGUCGAAAGCUCCGGCGGUGAAGGAUGAGCCCGCGGCCUAUCAGCUUGUUGGUGAGGUAAUGGCUCACCAAGGCGACGACGGGUAGCCGGCCUGAGAGGGCGACCGGCCACACUGGGACUGAGACACGGCCCAGACUCCUACGGGAGGCAGCAGUGGGGAAUAUUGCACAAUGGGCGAAAGCCUGAUGCAGCGACGCCGCGUGAGGGAUGACGGCCUUCGGGUUGUAAACCUCUUUCAGCAGGGAAGAAGCGAAAGUGACGGUACCUGCAGAAGAAGCGCCGGCUAACUACGUGCCAGCAGCCGCGGUAAUACGUAGGGCGCAAGCGUUGUCCGGAAUUAUUGGGCGUAAAGAGCUCGUAGGCGG
This 530-nucleotide ribosomal RNA is filed under the name Streptomyces cinnabarinus. RNAcentral's name for it is "bacterial SSU rRNA". It matches the Rfam family "Bacterial small subunit ribosomal RNA", at positions 31 to 578 of the family's 1533-position model. Lineage: Bacteria; Bacillati; Actinomycetota; Actinomycetes; Kitasatosporales; Streptomycetaceae. The record is from RNAcentral.